GACGAACGCUGGCGGCGUGAUUAACACAUGCAAGUCGAACGGAAAGGCUCUGAUUUUGUGGGGUGCUCGAGUGGCGAACGAGUGAGUAACACGUGAGUAACCUGCCCUUGACUUUGGGAUAACUUCAGGAAACUGGGGCUAAUACCGGAUAGGAGCUCCUGCUGCAUGGUGGGGGUUGGAAAGUUUCGGCGGUUGGGGAUGGACUCGCGGCUUAUCAGCUUGUUGGUGGGGUAGUGGCUUACCAAGGCUUUGACGGGUAGCCGGCCUGAGAGGGUGACCGGCCACAUUGGGACUGAGAUACGGCCCAGACUCCUACGGGAGGCAGCAGUGGGGAAUAUUGCACAAUGGGCGGAAGCCUGAUGCAGCAACGCCGCGUGCGGGAUGACGGCCUUCGGGUUGUAAACCGCUUUCGCCUGUGACGAAGCGUGAGUGACGGUAAUGGGUAAAGAAGCACCGGCUAACUACGUG
This 468-nucleotide ribosomal RNA is filed under the name uncultured bacterium. RNAcentral's name for it is "partial 16S ribosomal RNA". It matches the Rfam family "Bacterial small subunit ribosomal RNA", at positions 28 to 507 of the family's 1533-position model. The record is from RNAcentral.